Non-coding RNA from Capsicum annuum, 107 nucleotides. NCBI's taxonomy places the organism in Eukaryota, Viridiplantae, Streptophyta, Magnoliopsida, Solanales, Solanaceae. The record is from Rfam.
UGAUGAUGAUGAGGGCAAUUUCUGAGCAUACUUUUAAAUCACUCCCACAGUUGGUUGAGAUUAUUUCCUUCUUUCUGUGUGAAACCCAGAAUCUCACUUCUCAAACA